GACGAACGCUGGCGGCGUGCUUAACACAUGCAAGUCGAACGGAGAGGCCCUGCUUUUGUGGUGUGCUCGAGUUGCGAACGGGUGAGUAACACGUGAGUAACCUGCCCUUGACUUUGGGAUAACUUCAGGAAACUGUGGCUAAUACCGCAUAGUAGCUCCUGCUGCAUGGCGUUUGCUGGAAAGUUUCGGUGGUUGGGGUUGGACUCGCGGCUUAUCAGCUUUUUGGUGGGGUAGUGGCUUACCAAGGCUUGGACGGGUAGCCGGCCUGAGAGGGUGACCGGCCACAGAGGGCCUGAGGUAGGGGCCGGAGUGAUACGGGAGGAAGCGGCGGAGAAUAGAGCAAAAUGGGCGGAAGGCGGAAGGAGCAACGCCGGGUGCGGGAGGACUGUUGUCGGGGUGGAAAGCGCUUGAGCCUGGGACGAAGAGUGAGUGACGGUAAUGGGUAAAGAAGCAACGGCUAACUACGUG
RNAcentral lists this ribosomal RNA (468 nucleotides) under uncultured bacterium. RNAcentral's name for it is "partial 16S ribosomal RNA". It matches the Rfam family "Bacterial small subunit ribosomal RNA", at positions 28 to 507 of the family's 1533-position model. The record is from RNAcentral.